RNAcentral lists this unclassified non-coding RNA (2345 nucleotides) under Gigantopelta aegis. RNAcentral describes it as "uncharacterized LOC121386882, transcript variant X3". Lineage: Eukaryota; Metazoa; Mollusca; Gastropoda; Neomphalida; Peltospiridae. The record is from RNAcentral.
UACAAAUAUUCUAUUUAAGUAUGGCCCAGAGACCAGGAAGUUUAAUACAACAACAGAGAUAAAACCAGUCUGGUAGCCCUCUACACUAUGUUUCUCUUGUUUAACUGAUUUCUGUUGGACAAAAGUUAUGAUAUUCAACCAAUUUCGGGAACAUACAUUGAACUUUUAAAAUAUUUCAAAACGUUUAAAAUUUUCAGAGCACGCUUCGAACCUUUCAAAACGCGUGUAUAAUUCAGGUUAUGCAUAACUCCUAACCGAAAGAGAAGGGUUUGAAUUACAGACUCCAACCCCAUAGAUACAUUAAGUGAAGACAGUUUCGUUUUCGAUAUCAUGGGAUUGACUCGCAUUGUCUUUGUAAUCUUGGCGACAUGGAAUUCGCUGGACAUUAUUACAGGAGCACAGAUUAAACUGUCGAAUAACACCACUGUCAUAGAAUAUGGACGUAGAUAUAUCCUAGAAUGUUCUGUCUCAGGAAAUAUUCGGAGCCGAGCAAUUUCUUUCAAGCACAACACUUUGGAUAUUUGUAAACUACGUGUAUCCAAGACUAACGAUAGGAUAGAUAGGACAUCUUGUGAGACAUUCUACAACACAUCAUCAGCGUAUAAUUGUCUCUGUAUCGCGUAUUACAGCGAUGUGUCAGUUUACAGAAUAACGAUAAAGUCGUUUAACGAAGUGGACGCAACGCAGUGGUGGUGUGUCGCUGAAAUGUCCAGCAGUAAUGAAGCAGAUAGACUAAGUAACAUUGUCAACCUCUUCUAUGUUACUCUUUCUGGAAAUGUGACGACAUUCGAUGCUGAUGGUGUGAACUCAGUUACUUUUACUUGUGAAACAAGCAACAUGACAGGAAGUGUUACCUUUACGUGGAUAAACAAAACAAUUGAAGGAUCCACAUAUAUUGAAAACAACCUGAUUGUAUCUAAAAAUGGCAGCACAUACCGACAAGAGCUUAAAUUUAUUCCACAUUGGUAUCAACAUGGAAACACAAUUGCCUGUAAAGUUCUUGAUGUAAGCACCAACAUAACAGCAAUGUCAAAUUCUGAAAUUUUGGAUUUGAUAUAUCCCCCAUUGAAAAGUCCUGUAAUGAAGCAGAUAACAAAUCAAGAGACACCUCUCAGUUCAGAAAUUACAAUCCAGGAAGGAGCCAUGUUGAACUUGUCGUGUGAAGUUACUGGAGGAAAGCCGCGUGUGUCAACCGUUACAAUACGGUGUGAUGGUAUUAACAGUACAUUUUAUUCAGUGGUCGGAGAUCGUGUUACAGGUUAUCUCUCGUUAACAGUGCGGAGGAACCUUCACAACCAUGCCUGCCAGUGUUCAGCUACACACGAGACAGGUCGAUAUCAUUUUACUUCGAAUGUCACCAUUCGAGUUAACUUAACAGAUGCCGAAGGUGUGACAGUAGGUCAUGAGUUUAACUCCAGUAACAAGAUCCUAAAGGUGAUAUGUGAAGUAAAAGGAUAUCCAGAUAUAUACACCUUCUCUUCAUUCACUCACUUCUGGGGCGAACAUAGAAUCAGAGAGCUACCAGGACAACACGUAUCGCCUAACAAGUACGUCUUGACUGUUCAAAACGCGACAUACGCUGACUCGGGGAGGUACCAAUGUGAUGUCAGCAAUGGAGUUCAAGGACCGAACAAGAUCAAACUUCAAACUAAUUUUACGUUAGUAGCCAUUGGUGACAAACCCAUAUUCGGUGAUGAAGAACAGAACCAGACAGUGUCCGCUGUUCUUGGUACAACUGUCGUUUUGGAGAGAAAGAUAUUCAGUAAAUCCAAUAUUACUCUUCCCACGUGGACAAACGGACAGGGUGAGAACUUUACAGCUGAAAUAUCUUCGACAACUGUGACAUUACGUAUCUACAACACUACAGUGGCAGAUGACGGUUACUCAGUGAAACUGACGAUUUCUAAUUUGAGCAACGAUGACCAGGGAAUUUAUAAACUGGCUGUCUGUAAUAUCAAUGGGUGCGACCAGUUUUACACAACUUUAAAAGUGGUUGUUUCAGAACCUGUCACUUUGGACCCAAUACUGAUACCAGCUGCUUCCGGUGCAGCAGGAUUUGUGGUUUUAUUGGUCAUCGUUAUCGUCAUCAUCUGUGUCAUCAAGAAGAGGAGGAAUUCACAAACAAACAAAAGUAGGAUAAUUUCGUUUUUGACUAACUUUUCAAUUUAUAAAUGAACGGUUUCACUACAAAAUGAGAUCAGUCUCAGUUGUGAACACGCUCUGAAAUGGCAGAUAACAAAGAUGAUGAUUACAAUUCCGUGAACCGAACCAAUGCACAACGGGAGACAGAUAUUAAUGACGAUGGGUAUACUGUGAUUCAUGAUGAUAAACUACAAAAAGAGCCA